GGGCUCGUAGCUCAGUUUGGUUAGAGCGCGUCCCUGAUAAGGACGAGGUCACAGGUUCGAAUCCUGUCGGGCCCA
This 75-nucleotide transfer RNA is filed under the name Phycisphaerales bacterium. RNAcentral's name for it is "tRNA-Ile". It matches the Rfam family "tRNA". Rfam says of the family: Transfer RNA (tRNA) molecules are approximately 80 nucleotides in length. Their secondary structure includes four short double-helical elements and three loops (D, anti-codon, and T loops). The record is from RNAcentral. Lineage: Bacteria; Pseudomonadati; Planctomycetota; Phycisphaerae; Phycisphaerales.